Molecule: ribosomal RNA, 393 nt
Filed under: uncultured bacterium
Lineage: Bacteria
Description: bacterial SSU rRNA
Rfam family: Bacterial small subunit ribosomal RNA
Source: RNAcentral
GACGAACGCUGGCGGCGUGCUUAACACAUGCAAGUCGAGCGGUAAGGCCCUUUCGGGGGUACACAAGCGGCGAACGGGUGAGUAACACGUGGGUGACCUGCCCUCAGCUCUGGGAUAAGCCUGGGAAACCGGGUCUAAUACCGGAUAUGACUCCAUGACGCAUGUUGUGGGGUGGAAAGCCUUGCGCGGCUGAGGAUGGGCCCGCGGCCUAUCAGCUUGUUGGUGGGGUGAUGGCCUACCAAGGCGACGACGGGUAGCCGGCCUGAGAGGGCGACCGGCCACACUGGGACUGAGACACGGCCCAGACUCCUACGGGAGGCAGCAGUGGGGAAUCUUGCGCAAUGGGCGAAAGCCUGACGCAGCGACGCCGCGUGAGGGAUGACGGCCUCGGUU